Cavia porcellus (domestic guinea pig) is the source of this 1604-nucleotide long non-coding RNA. RefSeq lists it as uncharacterized. Lineage: Eukaryota; Metazoa; Chordata; Mammalia; Rodentia; Caviidae. The transcript is spliced from 3 exons. The record is from RefSeq and is a predicted model, not a curated record.
GGAUGAAGGGCUCAGCCGCAGCUACGUGGCGGUGUCUGCGCAACGUCCGCGUGGCCACAAGCGUCCAGUGCCAAGUGCCUUGGCACGGGAGCCUGGUGCUUGGGGAGGCCUGCAUUUGGGGGUGGAAAACAAACCCCGGAACCUGUGCGAAGAGGUGGCCACGUAUCUAUAUCCCCAUGCCAGACGCUCCCCGAGGUGUUGCAGUGAGAGGAGCGCUGGAGCCCUGUCCCAUGCUGACAAAGAAUGAAACUGGACAACGCAGGAGGAGGCAGGGUAUGAGCCUGUUUCUUCCACAGUGAGAAAGGCAAGAAAGUGCACGCAGUAAAGGGAAGGGAGCCUCCACUAGCCUAGCCGGGAGGGUGUUCUGAGUAGGAUACCUAACCAGAGCUCUUGGCCUAGGGGUUCUGAAGGGACUCACGAGGGAGCUUGUGGAAGGGCCCGGGCCCUUGUGGAAGACACAGAAGAACACGAUCCCCGCCUUACAUGGAGACUGUAUAUAGUUCAGUUGGUUCUUUGGUUUGGUUUUUAAAACUAUGGGACGCUUCACUUGCGCAGGGGCCUGGCUGAUGUCUGUAUCAUGCCAAUUUUAGUAUAUGUGCUGCUGAACUGAGCGCUGUGUGUGUGUGUGUGUGUGUGUGUGUGUGUGUGUGUGUGUAUCUGAGUGUAUGUAUAUUUGGAUGGAUGGAUGGAUGCCUGGCUGGCUGGCUGGCUGGAUGGAUAUGGAUAUGUAUCCAUGUGUUGGUUCUUUUUCUUUUCUGUCAGGAUCUGGUCUAUCCAGUGCUCACGCAGUGUCCCCUGCAGGGCCCGUGUGCCCGCCCUCGACUAUCCUGUCUGGAUAGUGCUCCGGUGUGUGUCCCAGACAGCCCAAAGACACCUGCCGCAUUUUUGGUUUCCCCCUGGGGUCCCUGGAGGGUCUUGACUGGGCAGGCUGUCGGGGGCCUUCCCGACUCCAUCUGAGGGCCACUGUGCUCCAAGCCUAAGAAAAUGCUAACUCCUCUCUCGCUUAUUCCUGGUACUCGACUCGACCCGUGCUCCCCAGUCUGCUCUGAAGCCACGAGACGCCAGGGGGUUUCGAGGGAUUGCUUGGGUGGAAGUCUGGGCCUGGACCGUGAUGCAGUUUAGCUGUGUCACCCUGGAAAACUGACUGGUCUCUCUGCGUUUCGGUCCACAGCGGGGGGUGGACAAUAAGGGCACGUUUACACUUUUGAGUUAGCCACACUGAAAAAAAACAUCCUCGUGUGGGACAAGGUCUCCUAACUUGCGUUCCAUUUCCCGAGUGGGGUCCAACUUGGGAGCCGACCCUCCCGCCGCUUGAACCCCCGCCCCCACCCCCGAGUGCCGAGGGAUGGCAGGAGGGCUACUCCGGAGGGUGUCCCUCUCCAAGGGACACUCCAUCCCCGCCUUCCCCUUCCCCGGGGCCUUGACCUCGGGCUUCUUCCCAGGGCGUGCGCCCGCAGCCACCGGGUGUCCUGCCGCCUCUAUCCAGCCAGAUCUUCUGCCUCCACGCCCGCAGUCGAGACGGUGCCCCCCCUACCCCCACCCCCACCCCCACCCCCACCCCCAGGGGCUCUCUCCUCUGAGUCAGUCAGCGCACCGCGAGCGGG